AAAACUCCAAAAAAUUAUAAAAAUAUUCCACGAAAAUAAAAAAAAAAAAAUUUGAAUUGUAUUUUUCAGAAACACCCUGGCCGGAAAAAUUAGCACAUAACAACUCUGAAAAACCUCGAGUACCAGCACAGGUUCACUCCAAAAGCCGAAUAGAGAUAAGUGGGGAAAAUUUAAAGUAAUCUCGUCGUCUGGUAGUAGUUUGAGCAACACAAACCUCUUGCAUCAGGGCGGGGCUCUACUCAUCUUUGUUGCUUCUAUUCACCGCCUUAUGUAUAUGCUGUUAAAUAUUUACGUAAAUACUCAACCGCUGUUAUCUGUUAUGUAGUUGAAGUCUAGUUUUUAUUUUAGUAAAUUAACUGUAAAUGUGGUAUUUAUUGUUAUUGACAUGUAUGAGUGUAUGUGUAAAAGUUGGCCAUAUGAUACCGAUGACAUUUACGAGCACGUUCUUGGAUCUUCACUUCAUUCGACGGAAGCUAACAUGAAACACAUAAAUCCUAAAGGGCAGCUCUAACAUUAUGUUACACGCGUGGUAUUCCAUCAAGGGCUUUUCCACACUCUCACACAUGUGUAUUUAUGUAUGUUGAAUACUACACCGCGUACCGAUAAUUUAAAGUGUGAUUUAUUGACCUUUUUUGUUGCACUAGGGUUACAAAGCUGUCACGAUUCAAAUGUCUUUCAUUGCGGUUGGAGUUUACUCUUUACUCUACAUGCCGAUGACAAGUCUAUUUUAUUCGCCUGUUUGAUUUAAUUAUUGGAAAAACCGGAAGAAAAUUUAAUUAUUUUUAGCCAAUACUUGUUUGUAACUAGGAAGUCUAAAAUUAAUUAAAAAAAAAUUAUAUCAAAUAACUGUGUUAAGAUUAAGAUUAAUGUUCAUGAGUCAUAUUUUUAUCAUACAGCUUUCGGCGAAUCAAUUACGUAAAUAAUAUUAAAAAUAAUAAAAAUUGACAACAUAACAGUGUAAGAAUAACAAAUUCAUGUGUUAUCUUGUUUUUGAUUCAUAUAUUUAAAAUAAAACAUUUUUUCGUGUCAGAUAAACUACUGUAGUUGACAUUCUGAGUAACGCGAUAUUUAUCAUAUGAGACUUGAGUCGUGAUUGCUAUUCAUUGUAUUUAAAAUAAAAACAACAUUUUCUCUGGUAAACACAAUAAAUUUUCAAAUCUACAAUAAAAUUUAGCUACGGAAAGUAAAAUAAAAUGAACUCGAACAAGAGUAAAGUAAUAGACUAAAUAAAUUAAGAUCAGAAUUGUUGAAUCGUGAAUUGAUAAAAUGAAUGAGAGUCACGCUCCGCUAAUUCGCCUGAUAAAUAAUUCUUUACUUCUUCUACUUUCGAACAAAACCGUGACUGGAACAAGUAUUUUAUUACGUCAAUUAGAACACUUUCAAAAGUAUAUCCAGCUAUUUUAUUUUAUUAUCCAAAAACUUCUUUACUAAAUUACGUACUCUCUAAUGAGAAUUUAAUGAAUUUUUUUAGCCGAGGCUAUAAAGAAUUGCCUUAAAAAACUAUUGCAGAAAAUCCGAAAUCGAUUGCUCGAACGGUUUUUGAGAUACAGCGAAUCCGUACAUCCGGAAUAAAAAUUGUACGUAUGUACGGAUUCUAUUUUCCGGGAUAAUUUAUUACCGAAUCAAUUUGGAAGUUUUUUGUAACACUUUCAAUGGAAUACUAUGAGUAGAAUUCAAGUGAGAAGAUAUUUAAAAAAAUAAUUGUUACGAUAAAAUAAUUAAUAAAAAGCCUGAAUGAAAAUGGCGGUUAACCUUUGAGUCUUUGGCUAUUAUCCCUCGUAAAUGAAUAAAGUGAUCGUCAACUAGGAAUAAAAAGAACUCCCACAGUUCUUUUGUGCAAUAAUUUUAAAACUCGCCGCUUUGUCAAUGUCAAGUAAUUCAAUGAUAACUUUUGCGAUAAUUAAAAAAAUAAUUGAAUUAUACAAUUAAUAGGGCAUAGAAAAAUGCGGUCAAGACUCAUUGUCUACUCGUAAUUCGUAAUUGUAUUAUAUAGUGAUAGAGACAAGUUCAAUCUCAAGUCUGUCGAGUAAUACCGUGUACACCACGUUCAUUACCGGAAACGGAAGCUCCACCCUAGCCAGUAACUGCGCGGCCGCGUGGUCGCGCACAAAGAAUUUAAUGCUUUUACUCGUACAAUUUAUUUAUAAAUAAAUAAGUAAAUUAAUAUGCUCGAUUAAUUUCUAUCUAGAGAAGAAAUUUCCCAAUGAAAAAUACAAAUUUUGGUUAUAAACUUUUUUAAAUAUGAGUAAAUGGUUAAUGAUAAUUAAUUGAUGCGAACAAAUAAUGUGACAAAAGUUAAAAUAAUAAUGAGAAUUGAAGUUAAUGGAAUGCGUAGUGACUAUCACGAUCGCCACCCACUUAGUCUUAAGUAGAGGGCAAGGGGAAGAUUGUUGUGAAAUAAGACUCGCCAGUGCAUACGUAUGAUACCGAGUGCACUGGCAUGGGUAACUCAAUACAAUUCUCAGUUGUUGAUAUGAAUGUUGGUUAAUAUUGUUAUUGUUGCAUGUGUAUGUGUGAAUGUAUGAUAUAUAAUAUAA
Molecule: long non-coding RNA, 2537 nt
Organism: Cotesia glomerata
Lineage: Eukaryota; Metazoa; Arthropoda; Insecta; Hymenoptera; Braconidae
Exons: 2
Source: RefSeq, a predicted model, not a curated record